GCGAACGCUGGCGGCAGGCUUAACACAUGCAAGUCGAGCGCCCGGGCAACCGGGAGCGGCAGACGGGAGAGUAACACGUGGGAACGUGCCCUUCAGUUCGGAACAACCCAGGGAAACUUGGGCUAAUACCGGAUAAGCCCUUACGGGGAAAGAUUUAUCGCUGAAGGAUCGGCCCGCGUCUGAUUAGCUAGUUGGUGGGGUAAUGGCCCACCAAGGCGACGAUCAGUAGCUGGUCUGAGAGGAUGAUCAGCCUCACUGGGACUGAGACACGGCCCAGACUCCUACGGGAGGCAGCAGUGGGGAAUAUUGGACAAUGGGCGCAAGCCUGAUCCAGCCAUGCCGCGUGGGUGAUGAAGGCCCUAGGGUUGUAAAGCCCUUUCGGCGGGAAGAUAAU
Molecule: ribosomal RNA, 394 nt
Filed under: uncultured bacterium
Lineage: Bacteria
Description: bacterial SSU rRNA
Rfam family: Bacterial small subunit ribosomal RNA
Source: RNAcentral